This 362-nucleotide unclassified non-coding RNA is filed under the name uncultured Dehalococcoidia bacterium. Its description in RNAcentral is "contains 16S-23S intergenic spacer region". Lineage: Bacteria; Bacillati; Chloroflexota; Dehalococcoidia. The record is from RNAcentral.
UCUCCCCUUUUAGGAGCAGUCUCGCUAGACAGAAUAACUAACGACGAGGGUUGCGCUCGUUGCGGGACUUAACCCAACACCUCACGGCACGAGCUGACAACAGCCAUGCAACAUCUGUGCGUCUGCCCCGAAGGGAGACCCGCUUUCGCGGGCUGUCAGACGCAUGUCAAGUCCAGGUAAGGUUCUUCGCUUAUCAUCGUAUUAAACCACACGCUCCGCUGCUUGUGCGGGGACCCGUCAAUUCCUUUGAGUUUUAGCCUUGCGGCCGUACUCCCCAGGCGGGAUACUUAUCGCGUUAGCUUCGGCACAGGAGGGGUCGAUACCCCCUAUACCUAGUAUCCAUCGUUUAGGGCGUGGACUAC